AACGAACGCUGGCGGCAUGCCUAACACAUGCAAGUCGAACGAGACCUUCGGGUCUAGUGGCGCACGGGUGCGUAACGCGUGGGAACCUGCCCUUAGGUUCGGAAUAACUCCCCGAAAGGGGUGCUAAUACCGGAUAAUGUCUUCGGACCAAAGAUUUAUCGCCUUUGGAUGGGCCCGCGUUGGAUUAGCUAGUUGGUAGGGUAAAAGCCUACCACGGCGACGAUCCAUAGCUGGUCUGAGAGGAUGAUCAGCCACACUGGGACUGAGACACGGCCCAGACUCCUACGGGAGGCAGCAGUGGGGAAUAGUGGACAAUGGGCGAAAGCCUGAUCCAGCAAUGACGCGUGAGUGAUGAAGGCCUUAGGGUUGUAAAGCUCUUUUAACCGGGAUGAUAAUGACAGUACCGGGAGAAUAAGCUCCGGCUAACUCCGUG
This 433-nucleotide ribosomal RNA is filed under the name uncultured bacterium. RNAcentral's name for it is "partial 16S ribosomal RNA". It matches the Rfam family "Bacterial small subunit ribosomal RNA", at positions 29 to 507 of the family's 1533-position model. The record is from RNAcentral.